CCUAGGAAAACAAAAUACCAAAUAUGGAUGAAGUCAUUAAACAAGAUGAGCAGAAGCUACUUUUCUUCAUUGGAACAACAAACUCUGCUGAAGAGCUUACUUGCUGGAAGUUCUCUGACACAGCGACUUCCCUUUGUUCCUCUGCAUGCACUGUGCGUGCCUUCAUCUCCUCUUGCUCAGCUGUAAUCUGAUCCAUCCUCUGCCGUCUCCUGGCAAACAUGAGGGCCCCUUUACCUGUCGUCUCUGGAAGCGUCUGCAUCUCGUCUCCACUUUUUGUCUUCUUUUCAACCUCAAGUAGACCACUGUCCCAAUCAAAUGUCACAAUCUUCUUGUCGUUGUCAAGGUCAGAGAAGAAAUCUUCAUCUAUUUCUGACUCACUUGUUGCAAGCAAACUCACUUCAAAAGUAUUUUCUUUGUCCCCCUCUUCAACUUCACCUUCUUCACCCUCGUCUUCGUCACGUUCGAGCUCCCCCGUCCCGUAGCUGACUAAAGUAUAUUUCCUCGCCCUUUGACGACGCUUCUUGAACAUCAACACCCCCUUGGAAUUGGGGUUGGGAGCUGCCGUCAGCAGCAAUGCAAUACUUUUACAUUUAGAUUUGGCUUCUUUCACCUGCUUCUCUGACAGGCUCUCACUUCGCCGGAGUCCUGUGGAAAGAAUCAACAUGCACAUUUAAUUGCACGCAGCCCACAAAAAUACAUAGAGCUUAUUAGCAAGUAGUUAUGCAUUUGUCUAUAGGGAAGUUUACAUACUGCCCCUCUCCCUGAUAUUAAAACAUUUCUUUUCUUGUGCAUGGAGGGGUGGCUAUGCAUAUGCUUUGCCCACAAUAACAACUGUGGUAUAAAUUCCAUACCCAGCAUUCCUUCCUUAGAGCCACACCCAGACAGGCUUAAAGGCUACAUCACUUUCUUUAAUUCAAGAGUGUGUCUUUUUUUCAAGGUGUGUUGAAAACUGUGCAUUGUGUCUGACAGCGGUAGCAGUUUCUACCAUUUAAGACAUUAUUGCACUAUAAAACCUUUGUAGUUGAUAAAAAUAGGUAUAUAUAUAGAUCUAUAUAUGUAUGUAUUAGCUAUUUAAAAGCAAGUAUAUAUCCCUGGAAAUAUACAAAGAAAUUAUUAAUUUUCAGCUCCCUCGAAGACAGUGGGAGUGCAAACAUAAUCCAAAAUUGUACAGGAUAUAACAUCUCCAGGAUAUUUAUUUUUAAAAUGUGGCAAGAAUGAAUACACAUUUAAGAACCUAAUGGAGGAGGCUCCUACCAAAAUAAUAUAUAUUUCUUAAAGCAUAAAGUAUUGGUUUUCAUCAAAUCAUGGGGGGAACAGGAAUAUCUGCAGCUAUGAAGGUGAUAGAUGCACUGUACAUCAGCAUGACCACCUCACUAGCUUCUCUCUUUUAAAAAGCUUGAUUUUAAAAUAAAAAGCUAAUUCUGCCUGGGUCAAUGGCUGCAUUCCAGUUAUUUUCAAAAGGAAAAGGUGUGCCUCUGAUUUGUGAAAAUAAACCAGUUAAGCAUUAUCUUCUGCUAGCACAAAUAAAGCAAACUUGUUAAAGAAA
Coturnix japonica (Japanese quail) is the source of this 1546-nucleotide long non-coding RNA. RefSeq lists it as uncharacterized. The record is from RefSeq and is a predicted model, not a curated record. NCBI's taxonomy places the organism in Eukaryota, Metazoa, Chordata, Aves, Galliformes, Phasianidae.